Molecule: long non-coding RNA, 347 nt
Filed under: Pan troglodytes (chimpanzee)
Lineage: Eukaryota; Metazoa; Chordata; Mammalia; Primates; Hominidae
Description: long non-coding RNA NONPTRT008496
Source: RNAcentral
GGCGCGCGUAGCCGGUGGACAGCAAAAACGCGCCGCGGAGACACCUGGGAGGCAUCGUCCGCGUGGGAGUGCGCAUGCGCAGACGCCCGGCCGGCGACCGAAGGUGAGGCUGGUGGGUCCCGCGGGCGCGGAGAAGGCGGGUGACGGUGUGACCCGUAAGGAAGGCUGAGGAGGGAGGCGGGAGCCUGGGCUGGGGAAAGCAAGAAGGGAAGAGGAGCAACCUGGGACGAGGAGUUGGCUGGAGGAAAUCUUUAGCUCUCAUGGAUUGGGAGCUGGGAAAGGAAUGAGAAGACAGAAGUCAGAGACAAGAAGAGGCUAACAUGACUGAUACCACUAUAAUUUAGUGU